Molecule: ribosomal RNA, 673 nt
Filed under: uncultured bacterium
Lineage: Bacteria
Description: bacterial SSU rRNA
Rfam family: Bacterial small subunit ribosomal RNA
Source: RNAcentral
CCCUUAGAGUUUGAUCCUGGCUCAAGAGGAACGCUGGCGGCGUGCUUAACACAUGCAAGUCGAACGAAGUUUUUCAUUCGUGGAAAACUUAGUGGCGGACGGGUGAGUAACGCGUGGGUAACCUGCCCUGUACAGGGGGACAACAGCUGGAAACGGCUGCUAAUACCGCAUAAGCCCUUAGCACUGCAUGGUGCAUAGGGAAAAGGAGUAAUCCGGUACAGGAUGGACCCGCGUCUGAUUAGCCAGUUGGCAGGGUAACGGCCUACCAAAGCGACGAUCAGUACCCGAUCUGAGAGGAUGUACGGCCACAUUGGGACUGAGACACGGCCCACACUCCUACGGGAGGCAGCAGUGGGGAAUAUUGCACAAUGGAGGAAACUCUGAUGCAGCGACGCCGCGUGAGUGAAGUAGUAUUUCGGUAUGUAAAGCUCUAUCAGCAGGGAAGAAAAUGACGGUACCUGACUAAGAAGCACCGGCUAAAUACAUGCCAGCAGCCGCGGUAAUACGUAUGGUGCAAGCGUUAUCCGGAUUUACUGGGUGUAAAGGGAGCGUAGGUGGCAAGGCAAGCCAGAAGUGAAAACCCGGGGCUCAACCGCGGGAUUGCUUUUGGAACUGUCAUGCUAGAGUGCAGGAGGGGUGAGCGGAAUUCCUAGUGUAGCGGUGAAAUGCGUNG